Molecule: ribosomal RNA, 466 nt
Filed under: uncultured bacterium
Lineage: Bacteria
Description: partial 16S ribosomal RNA
Rfam family: Bacterial small subunit ribosomal RNA
Source: RNAcentral
GAUGAACGCUGGCGGCGUGCUUAACACAUGCAAGUCGAACGAUGAAGCCCAGCUUGCUGGGUGGAUUAGUGGCGAACGGGUGAGUAACACGUGAGUAACCUGCCCUUAACUCUGGGAUAAGCCUGGGAAACUGGGUCUAAUACCGGAUAGGAGCGUCCACCGCAUGGUGGGUGUUGGAAAGAUUUAUCGGUUUUGGAUGGACUCGCGGCCUAUCAGCUUGUUGGUGAGGUAAUGGCUCACCAAGGCGACGACGGGUAGCCGGCCUGAGAGGGUGACCGGCCACACUGGGACUGAGACACGGCCCAGACUCCUUCGGGAGGCAGCAGUGGGGAAUAUUGCACAAUGGGCGCAAGCCUGAUGCAGCGACGCCGCGUGAGGGAUGACGGCCUUCGGGUUGUAAACCUCUUUCAGUAGGGAAGAAGCGAAAGUGACGGUACCUGCAGAAGAAGCACCGGCUAACUACGUG